AAGGCAGAGCUCCCUCCUCCCCAAAAAAAGGCGAGACGACGAGACGGGACGGGACGGCGCGCGCCAGACAGGCAGACAGACAGACAGAGAGGGAAGAGGAGGCCGAGGCGCGACCCACCCCAAGCAAGCCCUAGGCGACGCGACGACGGCCGCCGCGGCGAAGGCGUGCCCGGAUUCGGGGCUCAUCCGCUCGGCCCGGCCAUGUCCACCAAGAGGGUUCUUUGCAAGUUCUUCAUGCAUGGUGCUUGCUUGAAAGGAGAGUAUUGUGAGUUCUCCCAUGACUGGAGUGACCAAUCAAAUAAUGUUUGCACGUUUUACCAGAGAGGCUCAUGCUCUUAUGGUAGCCGUUGCAGAUAUGACCAUGUCAAAGUUUCUCGUAACAACCCAGUGCCUCCACUACCAUCAUCAAGUGCCGCAACACGUAACCCAGUUCGCCCGCCACCAUCGUCAAGUACUGCAACACAUGUUGCAUCUACAUCUCUACAACUUCUAAGUUCUGGACGUCCUCUUCACCCGGGACACCAAACAAACUCAAGCAACCAAAGGCAACAGAUAUCUAUGGAUAAGCUGUCACUUUCUGAAAGUAAGCCUGCAUGGAGGAAUGAGGUCCAACCUGACAGUGUAUCAGAGGAUGGGAUUGACUGGUCAUCCAUUCAAACUGCGCAAAACCAAACUUCCAUGAAACUUGCUGAUAUGCCAAUUUGUUCUUUUGCUGCUGCUGGUAACUGCCCGUAUGGUGAAGAGUGCCCUCACAUGCAUGGGGAUUUGUGUGCGUUCUGUGGGAAAAUGUGCUUGCAUCCUUAUCGUCCUGAUGAGAGGCAGGAGCAUAUCAAGCUAUGUGAAAAGAACCACAAGCGGCUUGAGGCUUUGAAGCGCAGUCAAGAAAUAGAAUGCAGUGUCUGCUUGGACCGUGUGCUCUCAAAGCCUACUGCUGCUGAAAGGAAAUUUGGACUAUUAUCUGAGUGUGAUCAUCCCUUCUGUAUUUCAUGCAUAAGAAAUUGGCGUGGCAACUCUCCUACAUCUGGUAUGGAUGUGAACUCAGCACUGAGAGCUUGCCCAAUAUGCCGCAAACUUUCGUACUAUGUCAUUCCAAGUGUUCUUUGGUACUUCUCGAAAGAGGAAAAGUUGGAGAUCACUGAAAACUACAAAGCAAAGCUCAAGUCAAUAGAUUGCAAGUACUUCGAUUUCGGAACGGGCACUUGCCCCUUCGGGACAAGCUGUUUCUACAAGCAUGCUUACAGAGAUGGCCGUUUGGAAGAAGUCGUACUGCGACAUCUUGAUUGUGAUGAUGGAAGUACACUUAUUGCUAAGAACAUUAGGUUGUCAGACUUCCUCGGUCGGUUGCAUCUCUAGGGACCAGCGGCUGCAUAUAUAUCGAAUGCAUCAUUCUGGGAUUUCGAUGUCUACCAAAUAUUUGCAGUAUUCUGAAGACAUCAGUUUAAAAUCGAGGCAUCUUCGAAAACUGCUGCUUUUCUCCAAUUUAUUGGUGGUUGCUUUGUCGCCAAACAUACAAAGAAAAUUCAAAGUUCGCUGCUGGACACCUGGAUGACCUUGUAGUGCUAUUGACCAGUGGAACAAUGGGAAAGAAGUUAUGCCGCGAGUAUGCUUGAAAAGUGAAAAAAAAACAUAAUUAGAACUGCUGAAACGCCUUUCCGUAUGCACUUUGUGUUGCUUCCUGGGUGGUCACCAGUGAUUCGGUAGAACGUUACCUGGCCAUUGUGCGAACGACCGGUGUGUAAUACUCGGCCGUAAUACUCAUUUCCAAACCGCCAUUUCCCUGACGAGGAAGGCUACCGCACCAACAACUGGUGAACUGAGACCGUUUGGUUGUAUAACGUGUACGCUGGAGGAAAAAUGGAAAAGAAUUCAAAGAAUACGCUUCAUACUUGAUGAUGUUAUGAAGUUUGAUUGGUCA
This is an RNA transcript of Hordeum vulgare subsp. vulgare (domesticated barley), 1915 nucleotides long. It is a transcript of the gene named E3 ubiquitin-protein ligase makorin, with no coding region annotated. The record is from RefSeq and is a predicted model, not a curated record. The transcript has 8 exons. Lineage: Eukaryota; Viridiplantae; Streptophyta; Magnoliopsida; Poales; Poaceae.